This 66-nucleotide transfer RNA is filed under the name Pseudunio marocanus. Its description in RNAcentral is "tRNA-Ala". Lineage: Eukaryota; Metazoa; Mollusca; Bivalvia; Unionida; Margaritiferidae. The record is from RNAcentral.
AGCUCCGUACUUUACAAAAAGAUUUAACUUGCACUUAAUCAUCAAGGAACAAACCCUUCAGAGCUU